Molecule: ribosomal RNA, 393 nt
Filed under: uncultured bacterium
Lineage: Bacteria
Description: partial 16S ribosomal RNA
Rfam family: Bacterial small subunit ribosomal RNA
Source: RNAcentral
AUACGGAGGAUGCGAGCGUUAUCCGGAUUUAUUGGGUUUAAAGGGAGCGUAGGUGGGAUAUUAAGUCAGCUGUGAAAGUUUGGGGCUCAACCUUAAAAUUGCAGUUGAUACUGGUUUCCUUGAGUACGGUACAGGUGGGCGGAAUUCGUGGCGUAGCGGUGAAAUGCAUAGAUAUGACGAAGAACACCGAUUGCGUAGGCAGCUGACCAGACCGCAAAUGACGCUCAUGCACGAAAGUGCGGGGAUCGAACAGGAUUAGAUACCCUGGUAGUCCGCACAGUAAACGAUGAAUACUUGUUUUCGGCGAUAUAAUGUCGGAGGCAAAGCGAAAGCGAUAAGUAUUCCACCUGGGGAGUACGCCGGCAACGGUGAAACUUAAAGGAAUUGACGGGG